GGAAUUGUGCGCAAUGGGGGAAACCCUGACGCAGCGACGCCGCGUGCGGGAAGAAGGCCUUCGGGUCGUAAACCGCUUUUCUGGGGGACGAGAAAGGACGGUACCUCAGGAAUAAGUCCCGGCUAACUACGUGCCAGCAGCCGCGGUAACACGUAGGGGGCGAGCGUUAUCCGGAAUCACUGGGCGUAAAGGGCGUCUAGGCGGCUUGCCAAGUAUGGCGUGAAAGAUCUCGGCUCAACCGAGGGAACGCGCUGUAAACUGGCAGGCUAGAGACUUGGAGGGGUGCGUGGAAUUCCCGGUGGAGUGGUGGAAUGCGUUGAGAUCGGGAGGAACACCUGAAGCGAAGGCGGCGCACUGGCCAAGUUCUGACGCUGAAGCGCGACAGCGUGGGGAGCGAAC
This 399-nucleotide ribosomal RNA is filed under the name uncultured bacterium. RNAcentral describes it as "bacterial SSU rRNA". It matches the Rfam family "Bacterial small subunit ribosomal RNA", at positions 358 to 773 of the family's 1533-position model. The record is from RNAcentral.